Molecule: transfer RNA, 87 nt
Filed under: Candidatus Portnoybacteria bacterium CG10_big_fil_rev_8_21_14_0_10_36_7
Lineage: Bacteria; Candidatus Portnoyibacteriota
Description: tRNA-Tyr
Rfam family: tRNA
About the family: Transfer RNA (tRNA) molecules are approximately 80 nucleotides in length.
Source: RNAcentral
GGGCAGGUGGCAGAGCGGCCAAAUGCACCUGACUGUAAAUCAGGCGACCACCGGUCUUCGUAGGUUCAAAUCCUACCCUGCCCACAA